GGCUUUCUGAGCAGCUGCAAAAUAUGUUUUUAACUUUUAAAUGGAAGUUGGGGGUCACUGGCAUCGAGUCUGGAACAGUCAUUCUCAGCAAGAGCUCUUUGAACUCUGACAUUCUCUAGUUUUACGGACUCGGAAAUGAAAGCUCAUUAGCAUCUACACUGAAGACGCUCCUGUUCUUCACAGCUUUAAUGAUCACUGUUCCUAUUGGGUUAUAUUUCACAACUAAAUCUUAUAUAUUUGAAGGCGCCCUUGGGAUGUCCAAUAGGGACAGCUAUUUUUACGCUGCUAUUGUUGCAGUGGUCGCCGUCCAUGUGGUGCUGGCCCUCUUUGUGUAUGUGGCCUGGAAUGAAGGCUCACGACAGUGGCGUGAAGGCAAACAGGAUUAAAGUGAACAUCACCUUUUGAUAGCAUUAAAUUCAUUUUUUAAAAUGAUAAAUGCUGGAGGGGGCCAUCUGAUUUGAAUAAAGUUGAAAGAACAUGUUAAA
This 485-nucleotide small RNA is filed under the name Pan troglodytes (chimpanzee). RNAcentral describes it as "processed transcript". Lineage: Eukaryota; Metazoa; Chordata; Mammalia; Primates; Hominidae. The record is from RNAcentral.